UACGUAGGGCGCAAGCGUUGUCCGGAAUUAUUGGGCGUAAAGAGCUCGUAGGCGGCCUGUCGCGUCCGCUGUGAAAUCCUGGGGCUUAACCCCGGGCGUGCAGUGGAUACGGGCUGGCUAGAGGCAGGCAGGGGAGAACGGAAUUCCCGGUGUAGCGGUGAAAUGCGCAGAUAUCGGGAGGAACACCGGUGGCGAAGGCGGUUCUCUGGGCCUGUUCUGACGCUGAGGAGCGAAAGCGUGGGGAGCGAACAGG
Molecule: ribosomal RNA, 253 nt
Filed under: uncultured bacterium
Lineage: Bacteria
Description: partial 16S ribosomal RNA
Rfam family: Bacterial small subunit ribosomal RNA
Source: RNAcentral